AGACUACAAGGAACCGCCCGUGUGAGCCAGUGGAAGACUCGCGUCCCCAGGCAAAAUAUAAGUCCUGGGUUAAUAGUCUGAAGUCUGUCAUUAAGCAAUAGGUUAUCCAGCUGCCCAGAUUUUUUUCUUUUUUGCUUUGGCUGCAACUCGACCCGUGGGAACUUAAUUGGCAAUGUAAAUUAGACAAUUUACAAAAAAACACCUCCUUUUACUUUCACCUGUGAAAGGAAGCGCUUAAAAUGCCAUACAGGUGUAACCAUUAUAGAAUAGAUAUGCGUGAGACAAGGAUUUACAAAAUUUCCUCACCUCCUCUCCUCCAGAUUCCAUGCACAAGGCGUCUAGCUAGAGGAGUUAGCAAAUAGUCUAUAACGUGAAGGUUCAAACUCUAGUAUAAUUCCACCGUUUUUGUUUUUUUCUUUUUUUGAGGCAAGGUCUCACUCUGUCUCCCAAGCUGGAGUGUAGUGGCGCGAUCUCGGCUCACUGCAGCAUCGUCUUCUGGGUUCAAGCGAUCCUCCGGCCUCAGCUGGACUACAGGCGGGUAAUCAAGGGACUG
RNAcentral lists this long non-coding RNA (553 nucleotides) under Homo sapiens (human). Its description in RNAcentral is "non-protein coding lnc-IMPACT-1:3". The record is from RNAcentral. Lineage: Eukaryota; Metazoa; Chordata; Mammalia; Primates; Hominidae.